This 84-nucleotide transfer RNA is filed under the name Jeongeupia sacculi. RNAcentral describes it as "Jeongeupia sp. HS-3 tRNA-Leu". It matches the Rfam family "tRNA". From Rfam's summary of the family: Transfer RNA (tRNA) molecules are approximately 80 nucleotides in length. Their secondary structure includes four short double-helical elements and three loops (D, anti-codon, and T loops). Further hydrogen bonds mediate the characteristic L-shaped molecular structure. tRNAs have two regions of fundamental functional importance: the anti-codon, which is responsible for specific mRNA codon recognition, and the 3' end, to which the tRNAs corresponding amino acid is attached (by aminoacyl-tRNA synthetases). tRNAs cope with the degeneracy of the genetic code in two manners: having more than one tRNA (with a specific anti-codon) for a particular amino acid; and 'wobble' base-pairing, i.e. permitting non-standard base-pairing at the 3rd anti-codon position. Lineage: Bacteria; Pseudomonadati; Pseudomonadota; Betaproteobacteria; Neisseriales; Chitinibacteraceae. The record is from RNAcentral. RNAcentral also lists the same sequence under 1 other name.
GCCCGGGUGGCGAAAUGGUAGACGCAGGGGACUCAAAAUCCCCCGUUGAAAGACGUGUCGGUUCGAGUCCGACCCCGGGCACCA